Molecule: ribosomal RNA, 288 nt
Filed under: Babesia microti
Lineage: Eukaryota; Apicomplexa; Aconoidasida; Piroplasmida; Babesiidae
Description: partial 18S ribosomal RNA
Rfam family: Eukaryotic small subunit ribosomal RNA
Source: RNAcentral
CUAAACCCUUCCCAGAGUAUCAAUUGGAGGGCAAGUCUGGUGCCAGCAGCCGCGGUAAUUCCAGCUCCAAUAGCGUAUAUUAAAGUUGUUGCAGUUAAGAAGCUCGUAGUUGAAUUUCUGCCUUGUCAUUAAUCUCGCUUCCGAGCGUUUUUUUAUUGACUUGGCAUCUUCUGGAUUUGGUGCCUUCGGGUACUAUUUUCCAGGAUUUACUUUGAGAAAACUAGAGUGUUUCAAACAGGCAUUUGCCUUGAAUACUACAGCAUGGAAUAAUGAAGUAGGACUUUGGUU